GCUUGGCCCUAAACCUCAAUAGUUAAAAUAACAAAACUAUUCGCCAGAAUACUACAAGCAACAGCUUAAAACUCAAAGGACUUGGCGGUGCUUCAUACCCCCUAGAGGAGCCUGUUCUGUAAUCGAUAAACCCCGAUCCACCCCACCCUCUCUUGCUUAGUCUAUAUACCGCCAUCUUCAGCAAACCCUGAUGAAGGCUACGAAGUGAGCGCAAAUGCCUUUCCCCGCAAAAACGUUAGGUCAAGGUGUAACCUAUGAGACGGUAAAAAUGGGCUACAUUUUCUACUUCAGAAAACCCCACGAUAGCUCUUAUGAAAUCUAAGAGCCCAAGGAGGAUUUAGCAGUAAAUUAAGAAUAGAGUGCUUAAUUGAACUAGGCCAUAAAGCACGC
Molecule: ribosomal RNA, 390 nt
Filed under: Papio papio (Guinea baboon)
Lineage: Eukaryota; Metazoa; Chordata; Mammalia; Primates; Cercopithecidae
Description: partial 12S ribosomal RNA
Rfam family: Bacterial small subunit ribosomal RNA
Source: RNAcentral